UAUGCUAAGUAUACACUUUCAACAAUUUAAUGUGUACAGAAGACAUGUCUCCUUACAAUCGUUGAAUUUGAGAAUUAUUGACUAUUUUAUUGACUAUUCAACCACUCCUCCAUUUGAUAUGUACACAUGUACAAAGAUGGGAGUAAAUCAUUUUUAUCGCCUCAAUGCCAAUAAGUUAUAUCUCGUUGAAAACUAACAAAAGUUAAGUCUGGGUAUACAUAUAUCAAUGAGGUAAUCAACCCAUAUUAACACAAUAAUGACCACAUUGAUAUGCCAAAAUAUACCACAAACAUUUCUUUAAAACUGCUUGUUCAGAUUCCUAGUAUAAAAAUGCGCACAAUUUAUUGUUAUGAGCCUGUGCAUAUAGGAGACCCGCAUAUGAAUAUAACAUUUUCGCUGUUCCAUUCAUCUGCCUGUCGAGAAACAUUGGGCAGCAGUUUAUCUGUUAAGCGUUUCAAAUAAUAAUAAUAAUAAGGGGCUGGGUCUAGUAACAAAAGGUCAACUAUACUUAUAUAUCUAUCUCAAUAUACUUACUUUUUCACCACCAUGUCAGUAAAAUCGCUAAAACUCUCUCUCCCAUCCCGCUUCCCUCCAAUGUCAUCAUUUUUGCGCUCCUUCCCCUUUGAUGUUGGUUUGUACACGGUGGUUAUGCUGUAAGCGCUACUCACUCUAUCUUGUCUAUUUCUGUCUGUAUGGUGUUGUAGCUAGGAUGUAGAUUUGAAGGAAAGAGGAAAAACGUGUUUCACCGGAUAACGACAGAAAUUUGUCACAUGACAAAUACAGAUUUGGGUAUGAUUAUGCAGCUGUAUUUAUGGUCGUAUGUAAUUGAAAUAGCCAAGGAGAUGUUAUGACGAUAGACACUGACAUACAUAUAAUGUUUGUUUGCAAACGUUUUUAUAGUGGUUUAUAUUUUUAUAUAAUCACAUAUAUACAAAAUGUAAUGGUUGCAAUAUGUAAUACAUAUACAUAUAUCCAAAUUCAAUAAGAGUUAAGUAAUUAGAAAAUGACAAACAAGUAUUAUUUAUUAUGUGAUAUAUAUCAAACAAUACACUUUUACGAUAUAGUACAUUUGUCUUGAGGUAGAUGUUUCAUAAUUUGUAUAUAUUGAAUUAUAAUUAAUUUCUAAUUAAUCAUUGCAUAAGUGACAUUCCAUUUACUUUUAAUUUUGUCCUUUUUUUCUUAGUACGCGCACACUUCUAUUUUAUUAUAACAGGAUAGAUACAAAUUGCCCGUCGAAAUUGAAUGAAUAGUCUCCCUUUAUUACUUAAUUUCGAAUUCAAUGUAACGAAACGACAAAAGGAUCUAAUUCGUGAAGACAAGAUUUACAUACCAUGUUUGGAAUGCGGUCGAUUUAUAAUAUAUUUGAAGGAUCCUGAUAUAUUUCUAAAUGUCUUUUAUAUUCAAAUGACUUUGUUUUGUUCAUUGCAGAAGCAUGGAUUCGCGGAAUCGUGUCCUUCAACGAUUGGAGUAGACUUUUGGGAUACAGCGGGACAAGAACGAUUUAGAAACAUAGCUAAAGGUUAUAUGUCAAAGGAUCAUCAGCGAUCUGCAUCGUGUAUGACGUCACGUCAAUGAAUUCAUUUUAAAACAUAACAAAUCACAUAAACCCUGAUAUUGAAAAUCCAGAAAUAGUCAAAUUUAUUGUUGGAAAUAAAAUUGAAAUGGAAGACGAGCGACAGGUGACAUUUGAUGAAGGAAAGAAAUUUGCCGAUGAAAAUGGAUUGGAGUUUAGGGAAGUUAGUGCUGCCAAUGCUAAGGGUGUCAACGAGUUAUUUAUGUCCUUGGCGGAAGCAGUUUACCGGAAGAAAAACCCAGGAUCUACCGUUGAUUGGACAGGUUCUGCGACGAAUUGUUUUAGGAAAUGAUACGGAGAAUGCAUUUGAAGUAUCAAUAUAGACUAUUUGCAAGAAGUACUCGGUGACAGUGGAUACACAACGUGCAAUACACAGUCACCUGUGGGAAACGGAACACACCCUUUUAUUUACACCUUUAUUACGGCAACAAUGGACAAUACAACUCUUGGUGUCUAUUCCGUCCCCAGAAAAAUCCAUUUAAUCCUAUAAUUAUGCUGGAGAAAUGGUUGUGUUGAAUUCUUGCUUUUGCAGUUAAGGGCAUUGUUUUAUUUUAACUAAGUGUGUACUAAAACGACAACGUCAUUAACAUAUACAGUAAUAUCAUUAAA
Molecule: long non-coding RNA, 2182 nt
Organism: Pecten maximus
Lineage: Eukaryota; Metazoa; Mollusca; Bivalvia; Pectinida; Pectinidae
Exons: 4
Source: RefSeq, a predicted model, not a curated record